Molecule: non-coding RNA, 92 nt
Filed under: Corchorus capsularis
Lineage: Eukaryota; Viridiplantae; Streptophyta; Magnoliopsida; Malvales; Malvaceae
Source: RNAcentral
CUAUACGGGCGGGCUGCGGCGGGGAGGGCUUCGGCCCUGCCGCCUUGCUUGUUCGUCGGUCUUCCAACCUCGCCGUGUGCCCACCCACCCCU